Long non-coding RNA from Rhea pennata, 101 nucleotides. RefSeq lists it as uncharacterized. NCBI's taxonomy places the organism in Eukaryota, Metazoa, Chordata, Aves, Rheiformes, Rheidae. The transcript is spliced from 3 exons. The record is from RefSeq and is a predicted model, not a curated record.
UACUGCAUACACUGACAGAUGGGUUUCUGAUUUGACCUCAGUAUUACAGCUGCACAGACAGGAACAAAGAUGCCACCAGGCUGACUUUUCUGCAGCGCGAU